UCUUCCUUUAUUUACUUAUAUUGAUUUUUUUUUUUCUAAAAUAACGUUUCUUCUCCCUCUAAUCUCUGCUAACCACACCGCUUCGACCCUUUCUUGAUUUCGAUCCCUGCUACCCCCGCCGGAUCCGCCGCUUCGAUCCCUGCUACCCCCGUCAUUUCGAUCUUGUCGGUUGCUCCCUUAAUGCCUGAAAAAUGAGUUUGGUUCAUUCUCGCUCCUUCUUUCGUCGCCUCCGUUUUGUUUUCCUGUUGCUUUGAUCCCCUCUAUCAGCACCUCUGCUGCUUCGAUCCCGGCGAUUGGUCCCCUCUGCUGAUAAAAAUAUAGUUUGUUUUGUUUUAUUGCCGCUUGGGAUCGUUCAGUUUUAAAACGGUAAAUAAGUAUGAAAACGCAUCUGGUUGAGUUUGAACUCGGUCAAGCUGGCUAUAAAUCAAAAUUUUUAACUAAGUGAAGAAGCUCUGUUCUAAAAACUAAACUGCAAUUAACGAGAGAGGUUGCCCGACGUAGUUGAUGAGCAUUUUGAACUUGCUCCUGCCCUGAGAGGCGAGCUCCAAAUGCAUCUCCAUAGUCAUGACGUCUGCGUUCUGUCAUAGCUUUCCGAUCGACAAGGUGCACUGCUCCUCGAGCUCCCUGACUAUCGUCGCUGCCCUCACCCACCACCCCAGCUAUGCAUGCGGUGCCACACCACCACCUCUGCCACUGCACACCGGGGGAAAAAAGAGAGAAAAUUAUAUACUAUAUACUUGAAAUGGUUGUUGUUCUUAUUAUUAUGGUGUAACUUUUGUUUUGCGAGGAAUGAAAAAAAUGGCAUGCUACUUGUAAGGUACCGGACUUCUAAAACUAUUAAGUUACGGUUUACAUUCGAUUGGAGAGCCAUUUGAAUGGUCCCGGUGAAGUUUGAUGAGGUUCGGGAGCUAUCGGGUGUUUCGGUGCGCGUAGGCGCUAAAACGGACCCGAAAGGCUAACUUGGGCCGUGAGCUAAAUCCGGA
Molecule: long non-coding RNA, 983 nt
Organism: Ananas comosus (pineapple)
Lineage: Eukaryota; Viridiplantae; Streptophyta; Magnoliopsida; Poales; Bromeliaceae
Exons: 3
Source: RefSeq, a predicted model, not a curated record